RNAcentral lists this ribosomal RNA (433 nucleotides) under uncultured bacterium. Its description in RNAcentral is "partial 16S ribosomal RNA". It matches the Rfam family "Bacterial small subunit ribosomal RNA", at positions 29 to 507 of the family's 1533-position model. The record is from RNAcentral.
AACGAACGCUGGCGGCAUGCCUAACACAUGCAAGUCGAACGAGACCUUCGGGUCUAGUGGCGCACGGGUGCGUAACGCGUGGGAACCUGCCCUUAGGUUCGGAAUAACUCCCCGAAAGGGGUGCUAAUACCGGAUAAUGUCUUCGGACCAAAGAUUUAUCGCCUUUGGAUGGGCCCGCGUUGGAUUAGCUAGUUGGUAGGGUAAAAGCCUACCAAGGCGACGAUCCAUAGCUGGUCUGAGAGGAUGAUCAGCCACACUGGGACUGAGACACGGCCCAGACCCCUCGGGGGGGCAGCGGUGGAGAAUAUUGGACAAGGGGCCAACGCCUGACCCCGCAAUGCCGCGUGGGUGAGGAGGCCCUUGGGGUUUAAAACCUUUUUUCCCCGGGAUGAUAAUCACCUCCCGGGGGAAAAACCCCCCGCCUACCCCCGUC